This 912-nucleotide ribosomal RNA is filed under the name uncultured bacterium. RNAcentral describes it as "bacterial SSU rRNA". It matches the Rfam family "Bacterial small subunit ribosomal RNA", at positions 8 to 911 of the family's 1533-position model. The record is from RNAcentral.
AGAGUUUGAUCCUGGCUCAGAUUGAACGCUGGCGGCAUGCCUUACACAUGCAAGUCGAGCGGCAGCGCGGGGGCAACCCUGGCGGCGAGCGGCGGACGGGUGAGUAAUACAUCGGAACGUGUCCUUUCGUGGGGGAUAACCAGUCGAAAGACUGGCUAAUACCGCAUGAGAUCUCACGAUGAAAGCGGGGGAUCCGCAAGGACCUCGCGCGAUUGGAGCGGCCGAUGUCGGAUUAGCUAGUUGGCGGGGUAAAAGCCCACCAAGGCGACGAUCCGUAGCUGGUUUGAGAGAACGACCAGCCACACUGGGACUGAGACACGGCCCAGACUCCUACGGGAGGCAGCAGUGGGGAAUUUUGGACAAUGGGCGCAAGCCUGAUCCAGCCAUGCCGCGUGUGUGAAGAAGGCCUUCGGGUUGUAAAGCACUUUCGGCCGGAACGAAAUCGCGCGGGCUAUUACCCCGCGUGGAUGACGGUACCGGAAGAAGAAGCACCGGCUAACUACGUGCCAGCAGCCGCGGUAAUACGUAGGGUGCGAGCGUUAAUCGGAAUUACUGGGCGUAAAGGGUGCGCAGGCGGCUCCGCAUGUCAGGCGUGAAAUCUCUGGGCUUAACCUGGGAAUGGCGCUUGAAACUACGGGGCUGGAGUAUGGCAGAGGGAGGUGGAAUUCUACGUGUAGCGGUGAAAUGCGUAGAGAUGUGGAGGAACAUCGAUGGCGAAGGCAGUCUCCUGGGUCAAUACUGACGCUCAUGCACGAAAGCGUGGGGAGCAAACAGGAUUAGAUACUCCUGGUAGUCCACGCCCUAAACGAUGAUGACUAGUUGUUGGAGGAGUUAAAUCCUUUAGUAACGCAGCUAACGCGAGAGUCAUCUGCCUGGGGGAGUACGGUCGCAAGAUCAAAACUCAAAGGACUG